Alosa sapidissima (American shad) is the source of this 101-nucleotide long non-coding RNA. RefSeq lists it as uncharacterized. The transcript is spliced from 3 exons. Lineage: Eukaryota; Metazoa; Chordata; Actinopteri; Clupeiformes; Clupeidae. The record is from RefSeq and is a predicted model, not a curated record.
CACACACACCCACACACACACACACACGAAAAGAUAAGAAGGUAGAUUCUGGAAGAGGAUACACAAACACUCACACAAACAAACAUACAAACACACACACA